CUGGACUGUGGUUGAAGGAAACCAGACAAAGCAAACACCAGAUAAGUGCAGCUUAUCCUUAAUGACUGGAUGUACUUCAUCCAUGACACUGACAUUUCAAUCUCCUCUAGCUUUAAAAGGAAUCUGUAGAGCCCCUAGUCUAACAAGUAGGAGAUGUGUUAACUGAAACUGGACAGCAUCAUCCUGGUAAAUCCAGGGCACAGAAAACUGAAAUGUAUAACAGACACCUGAAGGAGUGAAGGCAACCACUAUCAGCUCUUUCCUAUCGUCUGGCUCCCACUAUGCCUUUUAGUGUCUUGAGAAACAUACAAUAUCGAGUCUUCUGACACAUAAAUUGUAUGAAGACUCAGCAUGAGGCCAUGCUCAAGUAUUAUAAAGCUUCAUUUAAAAAAUAACACAAAGCUCCCAAAUUCAGCCCUUCUGAUUGGAUCUUCAGAGCAAAAGAAUCUACUAAAUUUACCAGUAAAUGUUUCAAGCAAGACUUGUUAAUCCAACCAAGAGGCUUUGCCUUUGAAGAAAAGUUUCCCUCAACAGGGGAAUCUUAAUGAAUCACCAUUCACCAUGCAGUUUCGGUAACAGAGAACAUGACACGGGGUGGGGGGCAAUGAUGGCUUCCCUGGCACCUUUCAGAACACAGCCUGUGAAUGACUGCCUACUGACUGAGAACACCAGCCCUGCCAAGGACCAUGCAAAGGGGCAUGUGGGCAUCACUAGUGAGUGAUCUGUCUCUCAGGCAACAGAAACUGCUCUGGGAAGGAACUAUAUACAUUUGACUUCUAAUUGCUGUAUCCCCAUUUCUCCCUGUUAUCAAGCCUGGGCAUUCAACCACUUUUUCCAUUUGCAAUGGUAAUAAUAAAUCAACAUUCAACAGAAGU
This is a long non-coding RNA of Neofelis nebulosa (Clouded leopard), 875 nucleotides long. RefSeq lists it as uncharacterized. The record is from RefSeq and is a predicted model, not a curated record. The transcript has 3 exons. NCBI's taxonomy places the organism in Eukaryota, Metazoa, Chordata, Mammalia, Carnivora, Felidae.